GUGCUUGUUUCAGUAGCACACAUUAAAUUGAGAUAAUACAGAGAUGAUUAGCAUGGUCCCCAUGCAAAGAUGACACACAAAUUAACAAAGCAUUCCACAGUUUU
Ictidomys tridecemlineatus (thirteen-lined ground squirrel) is the source of this 104-nucleotide small nuclear RNA. The record is from Ensembl. NCBI's taxonomy places the organism in Eukaryota, Metazoa, Chordata, Mammalia, Rodentia, Sciuridae.